CCCCUCUCAGGGUCGCACCUGGAGAGUUUCCAGUCCUCUACCAGUCUCGGCGGUGGGAGGGAGAGUCAAGCAGAGGCCUGUCCAUUCCAUUCCUAACUUGGACAGUGGCUAGUGAGUGGAAGGCGAUCGUCUACAAGU
This is a small nucleolar RNA of Tachyglossus aculeatus (Australian echidna), 138 nucleotides long. The record is from RefSeq and is a predicted model, not a curated record. NCBI's taxonomy places the organism in Eukaryota, Metazoa, Chordata, Mammalia, Monotremata, Tachyglossidae.